UACGUAGGGUGCGAGCGUUAAUCGGAAUUACUGGGCGUAAAGAGUGCGUAGGCGGUUCUUUGUGUCCGCUGUGAAAGCCCCGGGCUUAACCUGGGAAUGGCAGUGGAAACUAGAGAACUCGAAUCUGGCAGAGGGGGGUGGAAUGCCACGUGUAGCAGUGAAAUGCGUAGAUAUGUGGCGGAACACCGAUGGCGAAGGCAGCCCCCUGGGCUGAGAUUGACGCUCAGGCACGAAAGCGUGGGGAGCAAACAGG
RNAcentral lists this ribosomal RNA (253 nucleotides) under uncultured bacterium. Its description in RNAcentral is "partial 16S ribosomal RNA". It matches the Rfam family "Bacterial small subunit ribosomal RNA", at positions 524 to 776 of the family's 1533-position model. The record is from RNAcentral.